GGGUGCGUAACAUGUAAGCGACCUACCCUGGAGCGGGGGAUAGCCGGCCCAACGGCCGGGUAAUACCGCAUACGACAGUUUGGGGGCAUCCCUGGACUGUGAAACCUACGGGACUCUUGGCGGGGCUUGCGGCCUAUCAGCUAGUUGGUGCGGUCACGGCGCACCAAGGCGAUGACGGGUAGCUGGUCUGAGAGGAUGGCCAGCCACAUUGGGACUGAGAGACGGCCCAGACUCCUACGGGAGGCAGCAGUGGGGAAUCUUGCGCAAUGGCCGAAAGGCUGACGCAGCGACGCCGCGUGGAGGAUGACGCCCUUCGGGGUGUAAACUCCUGUUGCCCGGGACGAAUGCCCCUUUCGAGGGGAGUGACGGUACCGGGUGAGGAAGCACCGGCUAACUCUGUGCCAGCAGCCGCGGUAAUACAGAGGGUGCGAGCGUUGUCCGGAAUCACUGGGCGUAAAGGGCGCGUAGGUGGCUUGGUAAGCGUGUGGUGAAAGCCCGGGGCUCAACCCCGGGUCGGCCAUGCGAACUGCCCGGCUGGAGCACGGUAGAGGCCAAUGGAAUUCCGGGUGUAGCGGUGGAAUGCGUAGAGAUCCGGAAGAACACCGGUGGCGAAGGCGGUUGGCUGGGCCGUUGCUGACACUGAGGCGCGACAGCGUGGGGAGCAAACAGGAUUAGAUACCCUGGUAGUCCACGCCGUAAACGAUGGGCACUAGGUCCUUGGGGGAGCGACCCCGUGAGGGCCGGCGCUAACGCAUUAAGUGCCCCGCCUGGGGAGUACGGCCGCAAGGCUGAAACUCAAAGGAAUUGACGGGGGCCCGCACAAGCGGUGGAGCAUGUGGUUUAAUUCGACGCAACGCGAAGAACCUUACCUAGGCUUGACAUGGCCGGGAAAGCUGGGGGAAACCUCGGCCCCUCUUCGGAGUCCGGUCACAGGAGCUGCAUGGCUGUCGUCAGCUCGUGUCGUGAGAUGUUGGGUUAAGUCCCGCAACGAGCGCAACCCUUGUCACUAGUUACCAGCGGGUAAAGCCGGGCACUCUAGUGAGACUGCCGGUGCCAAACCGGAGGAAGGUGGGGACGACGUCAAGUCAUCAUGGUCCUUACGUCUAGGGCUACACACGUGCUACAAUGGGCGGGACAGCGGGUCGCGAAGCCGCAAGGUGGAGCCAUCCCAGAAACCCGUCCUCAGUUCGGAUUGUCGUCUGCAACUCGACGGCAUGAAGCUGGAAUCGCUAGUAAUCGUGGAUCAGCACCGCCACGGUGAAUACGUUCCCGGGCCUUGUACACACCGCCCGUCACGCCAUGGAAGCUGUGAGUGCCCGAAGUCCGUGUCGGAACCUGUGCAAACAGGACCAAGCGGCCGAAGGCAAGCGCAGUGACUGGGGCGAAGUCGGAACAAGGUA
This 1400-nucleotide ribosomal RNA is filed under the name metagenome. RNAcentral's name for it is "bacterial SSU rRNA". It matches the Rfam family "Bacterial small subunit ribosomal RNA". The record is from RNAcentral.